CUCAAAGAUUAAGCCAUGCAAGUGGUUAUUACAUAACCCGACAGUUUAAAUAAGUGUUACAAUGCUCACUAGCUUCGGACACACACACAUCACUUAUGCAACUGCAGACAGCUGCUUAAUACAGUCACACUUGUCUUGACUUGGUAUGACACACCCACUAUCUACGGAUAACUCAGGGAAAGUUUGGCUAAUACGUACGAGACACACAUCACUUACUCAGCACUCAAUGGUUAUAGCAGGCGAGACACAUUGAGCACGGCAUAUCUUUGGCUGAGCAGACUUUGCGAAGUUUACUUCUGCGAAGCAUGUCAUACAAGCAUCUACAGCAUCAAGUCACAGGGUUGGCAAGUGUAUUUUUGAACCUUCAAAGCAGUCACGCAUACGGAAGAGUAGUUUCUGAUCCCAUAGAAGGAGCACCGUACAAUGAGAGACUGCUCUUAGUUCUAAGGAACGCAGCAGGCGCGCAAAUUGCCCAAUGCUAGUACCCUACAGCAUAGCACUAUUUAUUCAUGUCACACACAUAUCCUUGUUCACUGUGAGGCAGUGACAAGCUGUAACGGUUGAGUAUAAUUUAUGACGAGUGUCUGGCAUUGCCGCUCCUUCGGGAGCUUGGCAUUGUUGCCGACGCUUUGUGUGCUCAAUUGGAAUGCGGUGAGUUUAAGCAUCUCAGAACCUACGGAUAAUUUAUAUAUUGUCUGUGUAUCUGAAUUUUAAGUGGAGGGCAAGUCUGGUGCCAGCAGCCGCGGUAAUACCAGCUCCACUGGCCUAUACAAUCAUUGUUGCGGUUAAGAGGCUCGUAGUUGGACUGAACUGCAGAUACAUAUCAUAUCUGUAAUACUCGACACACGGCAGACCUGAUACUGAUUUCAACACUGUGAACAAAUCAGAGUGUAUCAAACAUGUCGUUUUAACUGAAUGUGCAUUGAAUGUCUUAUCAUGGGAUGUUGCACCCGCACAUACACACAGUUACUUGAUGUCGAUGGGGAUAGUUGGAGUCAACAGUACUGCUGGGCGAGAGGUGAAAUUCAUUGACCCUAGCAAGACUACCUAAAGCGAAAGCAGUUGGCUAGGCUAUACUCCUUGUGUCAUUACACACACUGACACUUUACAAUGAAGAACGAAGGUUGGGGGAUCAAAGAGGAUCAGAUACCCUCGUCGUCCCAUUAAUUACAUCAAACGAUGGGCUCUCAAUUGCAUAUCACAUAUGCAAAUAUCCUCAACCUACAAAAUGACUUGGCUUGAGCUCGUAUCAUCUGUGAUACGCUCGCCAUAACUAUUUUCGUACGGUCUCGAUGGACGUUUCAUUUUCUCUCAGCGCGUCGGCACACAUGUUUCGCACACUUGAUUUUCGGAGCUUUGCGCUCAAUAACUGGUGAGAUGUAAGCACCCACACUCUCCUUCGGGUUCGAGUGAACAUGGUGUGAAGCACGCUUUAGGCACGCGCUUACUGCAGAAAUGUCUGAGACAUUGAUUUUCGGGGGUAGUAUGCUCGCAAGUGUGAAACUUGAAGGAAUUGACGGAAGGGCACCACAAGAACGCGUGGAGCAUGUGGCUUAAUUUGACUCAACGCGGGAAAUCUUACCGGGUCCAGACACACUGAGGAUUGACAGAUUACAAUAUACAGAUCUUACAUGAUUAUGUGAUAGGUGGUGCAUGGCCGUUCCUAGUUCGUGGAGUGAUCUGUCUGCUUAAUUGCGUUUCACUGACGGCUCAUAUGAUUUUAUGGUGUGUCGCGUCUCAGCUGAUCACCGCAUCAAUGAGCCUUGAAAGCAACGAACGUGACCGCAACCUCUUGUUAUUAAUUUAAACUAGAGGGACCGCUGUUACUUUCUUAAACCAGAGGAAGGUUGCGGCAAUAACAGGUCUGUGAUGCCCUUAGAUGUUCCGGGCUGCACACGUGCUACAAUGAUUAUUGCAGUGUGCAUCUCAUACACACACACCUAACCUAUGUUAGGUACAGCCUACUUUGAGAGGGAGUUAGGCAAUCAAUUAGAAGUAAUGAUUCCCAUACACAGCACACAUAUAUACGGCAUCUUUACCCGGCCCGCCUUGUUGCAGUGUCUCUGUGCGUAUUUGAUGUUUACCGUAUGUGCAAUUGUCAAUUCAUGGUGGGGACAGACCAUUGUUAAUUGUUGGUCUCGGUCUUAACUAGGAAUGCCUUGUACGGGUCUUUGGUUCAACAAACCACCCGGAAUACGUCCCUGCCCUUUGUACACACCGCCCGUCGCUCUUACCGAUGGACUUCUCUGUGAGUAUGAGGGACCGAUGGAAACUUAAACGAACAGUGUGGUCUAAAGGAAAGAGAAGUCGUAACAAGGCAUCGGUAGGUGAACCUGCAGAAGGAUCA
This 2347-nucleotide ribosomal RNA is filed under the name Schlumbergerella floresiana. RNAcentral's name for it is "SSU rRNA". It matches the Rfam family "Eukaryotic small subunit ribosomal RNA". The record is from RNAcentral. Lineage: Eukaryota; Foraminifera; Rotaliida; Calcarinidae.